This is a long non-coding RNA of Osmerus eperlanus (European smelt), 856 nucleotides long. RefSeq lists it as uncharacterized. The transcript has 3 exons. NCBI's taxonomy places the organism in Eukaryota, Metazoa, Chordata, Actinopteri, Osmeriformes, Osmeridae. The record is from RefSeq and is a predicted model, not a curated record.
UAGACACAGUUGUGCGCAACGCGGACAGGUCGGGAGAUGAUGAGCAACUUGCCGCUAUCACAUUGCCAUAACAACCGAUGGCAAGCAGCAUGCGAGAUGAAAUAAUUGCCCACUCAAAAGGUGAUGCACCGCUGAAGGGAGGAACACAAUCAUCUCACCGAAAUGAUUAAACGGAAGUGUUUAUGAAAACGACAAAGCCAGCAAUUUACGUCAAAUAGAUAAUCCAGCAGUUAGAUCAUUGCAGUUGCAACCCCCGACGGUUGGUUGUCGGUCAAACGGACAACAAGGCAGACAUAAAGGAUUAAACACAAGCUACAGCCUGUGUGCUACCGUUACAUUUGUGGAGGACUGAUGGACACUGACUGAAGGUUCUCUGUUUCGUCUCGAGCUAACACAUGGUUCUGAGCUUCACGAGCAGGAAGCGUGUAACUCCAAGCGUGGGAAAACGGCAUAGCUCAGGGGCUGUGAGACGCAUAGAGCUUCGUUUGCCCCGUUUUUUUCGGUUUCAUCACCAUGGCUCGGGAGAAUAGAGACUCCGGGAAAGGGUCGUGGAAAAAACAAGUGGACGACAUAAAGAUAAUAUUUGAAUUGAAAGAGAUCCUCGGAACGUAAGUAGCCUACUAAGUGGUGUUGGCCCAGGAGAGGGCCACAGACGGAUGUUUGCUGUCAAGUGCAUCCCCAAGAAGGCUCUGAAGGGGAAGGAAAGCAGCAUCGAGAACGAGAUCGCCGUCCUCCGCAAGAUCCAGCACGAGAACAUUGUGGCCCUGGAAGAUAUAUGAGAGCUCCAACCACCUCUACCUGAUUAUGCAGCUGUGAGUAUCUGGCAGACACACACCAACACCACACCUUUCUCUCC